RNAcentral lists this small RNA (23 nucleotides) under Arabidopsis thaliana (thale cress). RNAcentral describes it as "ATSL305720". The record is from RNAcentral. Lineage: Eukaryota; Viridiplantae; Streptophyta; Magnoliopsida; Brassicales; Brassicaceae.
ACAGUCAACAAAAACGACCUACC